CGACGUGAGCAAUCUGCCCUUAGGUGGGGGAUAACAGCCGGAAACGGCUGCUAAUACCGCAUAAUGCAUUGGAAUCGCAUGGUUUUGAUGCCAAAGAUUUAUUGCCUUUGGAUGAGCUCGCGUCUGAUUAGCUGGUUGGUGGGGUAACGGCCCACCAAGGCGACGAUCAGUAGCCGGACUGAGAGGUUGAACGGCCACAUUGGGACUGAGACACGGCCCAG
Molecule: ribosomal RNA, 221 nt
Filed under: uncultured bacterium
Lineage: Bacteria
Description: partial 16S ribosomal RNA
Rfam family: Bacterial small subunit ribosomal RNA
Source: RNAcentral